This 92-nucleotide small RNA is filed under the name Flavobacterium sp. 9. RNAcentral's name for it is "Flavo-1 RNA". It matches the Rfam family "Flavo-1 RNA". The record is from RNAcentral. Lineage: Bacteria; Pseudomonadati; Bacteroidota; Flavobacteriia; Flavobacteriales; Flavobacteriaceae.
CCCUAGCCCUGAUAGAAGUGGAAAUCCUUUUUCUGGCUUCUUUAGCCAGGAAAAGAUUGAAACGUCCCGAGGCUUCGGGAGCAGGAAAUAGC